RNAcentral lists this ribosomal RNA (657 nucleotides) under Stenotrophomonas maltophilia. RNAcentral's name for it is "bacterial SSU rRNA". The stretch from base 71 to 657 matches the Rfam family "Bacterial small subunit ribosomal RNA", at positions 874 to 1460 of the family's 1533-position model. The record is from RNAcentral. Lineage: Bacteria; Pseudomonadati; Pseudomonadota; Gammaproteobacteria; Lysobacterales; Lysobacteraceae.
CGACCAGAUGUCACUGGCUGUUGGGUGCUUUUGGCUUACUAUAUCAACUCUCACGUGUUGUUUCCGCGUGUGGAGAAUAGUGUCGCGAUAAUGACUCUCAGGAGAUUUGAGGGGCGCGCGCACACGCGGGGUAAUGUGUGGUUUAUCUCUAUGCCACGCAAAAACUUUUAUCUGCUUGUGAUGUGCGGAAAACCUUCCAGAUAUGGAAUGGUGCCUUCGAGAACCGUAACACAGGUGCUGCAUGGCUGUCGUCAGCUCGUGUCGUGAGAUGUUGGGUUAAGUCCCGCAACGAGCGCAACCCUUGUCCUUAGUUGCUACCAAAUAAUGGUGGGAACUCACUGGAGACCACCGGUGACAAAACGGUGGAGAGUGGGGAUGACCUCAUGGCUCUUGGCCCUUACGGUUCGGGCUACACACGUGCUACAGUGGUAAGGACUGAGGGCUGCAAACCGGCAACCAAUCUCCAAUCCCAGAAACCCUAUCUCAUUCCAGAUUGCAGUCUGACUGUCUACUCUCUGAAUCCCUAAUCAUCGCUAAUCACAAAUCCGCGUUGCUGCGGUGAAUACGUCCCGUGCACUUGUACACUCCCACCGUCACACCGUGUUAUUUUGUUGCUCCAUAACCUAGUCGCUUAGCCUUCGAGAGGGCGCUUGCCAC